Long non-coding RNA from Amaranthus tricolor (Joseph's coat), 1560 nucleotides. RefSeq lists it as uncharacterized. Lineage: Eukaryota; Viridiplantae; Streptophyta; Magnoliopsida; Caryophyllales; Amaranthaceae. The record is from RefSeq and is a predicted model, not a curated record. The transcript is spliced from 3 exons.
UUAAAAAAAUUGGUUUUCCUGAUUUCUUUUCUACACUAAACCCCAUGGGAAUUCCUUCAUUUUUGGUCUUUGAUUGUCAAAAGUGCCAUAGCUUGGUUCUUGUAUUAUUUUGGCUUGAAGCACAAACAAAAAUCAGCAUCAAGAAGCACCAUUCCCAUUCUUGUUCCAUCAUCUGAUUUUUCGAAGUUCCAAGCACCAAAACUUUUCUUGAACACCUUCGAACCAGCAGCUAGGUACACUCCAUUUUCCUCUGAUUUCGAAAAUAACAAACAAAAACCAAUAAGUAUAUUCUUCCUCUUUCUUUGAUUUUCAAUACAUUAUUAAACAUUCAUCCUAUUUUAUUUUUCCUUCUAAAAUUGGGGAUUAAAUGCAUGUCUUCAUCCAUUUUCUGGAAAUUCAUGAAACCCAGAAACCAUUAUUUUCCUCCUCAAGUUUCGAAUUUUGGAUACAGUCCCAUUAUGUUUUUUUUUUGUGCCGAAAAUUCAAACACAACAGCAGUUGAUUCUUGUAAAGACAACAAAAAGCAACAUCCGUUCAUCGGUGACCAACCUUGAUUCUUCCCUAUUCUUGUGAGUUUUGAAAGAAGCCAAAAACAAAACCUUCUUUCCACGUCUGAUUUUUGAGCGAGAUUACUUUCUUUGGGUUCCCAUUGCCGCCAUUUUAUUGAGGAAAUGAUUUCUCUGCGCGCUCUUUCUAGUAGAUAGCUGCGAAUCGAUCGCGGCUCUUUGAAGCGUCUUGUUGUUUGAUUACAGAUCGGAACUGGUCGGGAACGAUGAGUUAGCGUUGAUUGAAUAGCGUUUAAAGGAUGUGUAUUUAGCUGAGCACGUGGGAAUUUGUAGAUUUGUAUUAGGUUUUUGGAUAAAUAUAUAUUAGUCUUAGUUGUGUUGGUUAUAUUGGAAUCUGAGUAAAUUGUAUGAUUACUUGUGUUUUAGUUAGAUGUUUGUUUGAGAAUUAGCUGAGUUAGUUACGUUGAAAAGUUGGUGUCCUCUUUGCUUAAGUUUUGAAAGUGUGAUUUCAGUUUCUUGGGAAACGAACCCAGUGAUGACCUUGUUUACUCAGUUAACGGUAAGUCGGGUUGUUACGUAUAAACACUUCAAUUUCACUCUUCCCUUCAUUCCACUCCCACAUUUUUUACAUUGCCCCAUCAUCAACUAACUCUAACUUACGAUUUAUUCUAGGUUUACUCACAAACAGGGUAAAGUAUUUAGGGAGAUAUACUUCUAUUUCACUAAAUCCUCAAACAUAUACUCAAUCAACUCCAUCAAAUUGGUCUUAUCGGUGCCAUCCACCCUCACAUCAAAAGUACCCCUUAAAGCACGAACUAACAACCACAUUGUACUCAUCCUAACAACAACAUUUACCAACAAUACAUUACAUUACAUUCACAUUCGAAUUUCAUAGCAAACAAACUGACACAGAUAAUCACUUUCCACCAAACCCUAACCCUAACUCAAUUUUGCAAAAAAAUACAAAAUUAGAACUCGAAAUGCAAAUGGAUAAGGAUAGUAAUACCUUGCGUAUGCUUAAUCCACCGAAUUAGCGAACUUUGUGCGAAAUUCA